Molecule: ribosomal RNA, 991 nt
Filed under: uncultured crenarchaeote
Lineage: Archaea; Thermoproteati; Thermoproteota
Description: bacterial SSU rRNA
Rfam family: Archaeal small subunit ribosomal RNA
Source: RNAcentral
CGGUAAUUCCUUCUCCCCGAGUGGUAAGGACGAUUAUUGGGCCUAAAGCGUCCGUAGCUGGCUUGAUAAGUUUCCCGUUAAAUCCGACGAUCCAAUCGUCGGGCUGCGGAAAAUACUGUUAAGCUAGGAGGCGGGAGAGGCCGGCGGUACUUUUGGGGUAGGGGUGAAAUCCUAUAAUCCCAAGAGGACCACCAGUGGCGAAGGCGACCGGCCAGAACGCGCUCGACAGUGAGGGACGAAAGCUGGGGGAGCAAACCGGAUUAGAUACCCGGGUAGUCCCAGCUGUAAACGAUGCGGGCUAAGUGUCGGGAUGGCCAUAGAGCCAUCUCGGUGCUGCAGGGAAGCCGUUAAGCCCGCCGCCUGGGGAGUACGGCCGCAAGGUUGAAACUUAAAGGAAUUGGCGGGGGAGCACCACAAGGGGUGAAGCUUGCGGUUCAAUUGGAGUCAACGCCGGGAACCUCACCGGGGAAGACAGCUGAAUGAAUGCCAGAUUGAAGGUCUUGCAGGACUAGCUGAGAGGAGGUGCAUGGCCGUCGCCAGUUCGUGCCGUGAGGUAUCCCGUUAAGUCGGGGAACGAGCGAGACCCACACCCCUUAUUGCCAGCGGAUCCUAGCGGAUGCCGGGCACUUUAGGGGGACCGCCACCGAUAAGGUGGAGGAAGGAGUGGGCCACGGCAGGUCAGUAUGCCCCGAAUUCCUCGGGCCACACGUGAGCUGCAAUGGCGGGGACAAUGGGCUCCAACCCUGAAAAGGGAAGGAAAUCCUUAAACCCUGCCUCAGUUGGGAUCGAGGGCUGCAACCCGUCCUCGUGAACAUGGAAUCCCUAGUAAUCGCGUGUCAUCAGCGCGCGGUGAAUACGUCCCUGCUCCUUGCACACACCGCCCGUCGCUCCAAUCGAGUUGGGUCUAGGUGAGGCGCGGUCUUGUUGGUCGUGUCGAACCUGAGCUCAGCAAGGGGGGAGAAGUCGUAACAAGGUAACCAAGGGCGAAAAA